UUUCCGGUUGAUCCUGCCGGACCUGACUGCUAUCGGAUUGAUACUAAGCCAUGCGAGUCUUUGCAGUAAUGCAAGGCAUACGGCUCAGUAACACGUAGUCAACUUACCCUAUGGACGAGGAUAAUCUCGGGAAACUGAGCAUAAUACUCGAUAGAUCAUAAUGCCUGGAAUGGUUUAUGGUUGAAAUGAUUCGUCGCCAUAGGAUGGGACUGCGGCCUAUCAGCUUGUUGGUGAGGUAAUGGCCCACCAAGGCGAUUACAGGUACGGGCUCUGAGAGGAGAAGCCCGGAGAUGGGUACUGAGACAAGGACCCAGGCCCUAUGGGGCGCAGCAGGCGAGAAAACUUUGCAAUGUGCGAAAGCACGACAAGGUUAAUCCGAGUGAUUUCUGCUAAAGAAAUCUUUUGCAAGUCAUAAAACCACUAGUGAAUAAGGGGUGGGCAAGUUCUGGUGUCAGCCGCCGCGGUAAAACCAGCACCUCAAGUGGUCAGGAGGAUUAUUGGGCCUAAAGCAUCCGUAGCCGGCUCUGUAAGUUUUCGGUUAAAUCCAUGUGCUCAACGCAUGGGCUGCCGAAAAUACUGCAUAGCUAGGGAGUGGGAGAGGUAGACGGUACUCAGUA
RNAcentral lists this ribosomal RNA (617 nucleotides) under uncultured archaeon. RNAcentral's name for it is "bacterial SSU rRNA". It matches the Rfam family "Archaeal small subunit ribosomal RNA", at positions 1 to 624 of the family's 1478-position model. The record is from RNAcentral.